GCUAGCGGGAGGCUUAAUACAUGCAAGUCGAACGGUAACAGAGUUAACAUUAGUUGACUGCUGACGAGUGGCGCACGGGUGAGUAACGCGUACGCAACCUACCCUUGUCAGGGGGAUAGCCCUGGGAAACUGGGAUUAAUACCGCAUACAAUCUUAGGGAGGCAUCUCUUUAAGAGAAAAGGAGUAAUCUGGACGAGGAUGGGCGUGCGUGCUAUUAGGUAGUUGGUGAGGUAGCGGCUCACCAAGCCGACGAUAGCUAGGGGGCGUGAGAGCGUGGACCCCCACACGGGUACUGAGACACGGACCCGACUCCUACGGGAGGCAGCAGUAAGGAAUAUUGGACAAUGGGCGGAAGCCUGAUCCAGCCAUCCCGCGUGCAGGAUUGACGGCCCUACGGGUUGUAAACUGCUUUUAUCAGGGAAGAAUAGCUUCGAUGUAUCGAGGUAUGACGGUACCUGAAGAAUAAGCACCGGCUAACUCCGUGCCAGCAGCCGCGGUAAU
Molecule: ribosomal RNA, 501 nt
Filed under: uncultured bacterium
Lineage: Bacteria
Description: bacterial SSU rRNA
Rfam family: Bacterial small subunit ribosomal RNA
Source: RNAcentral